Molecule: ribosomal RNA, 396 nt
Filed under: uncultured bacterium
Lineage: Bacteria
Description: partial 16S ribosomal RNA
Rfam family: Bacterial small subunit ribosomal RNA
Source: RNAcentral
AUACGUAGGGGGCAAGCGUCAUCCGGAUUUACUGGGUGUAAAGGGAGCGUAGACGGCGAAGCAAGUCUGAAGUGAAAGGACGGGGCCCAACCCCGGAACUGCUUUGGAAACUGUUUGGCUGGAGUGCGGGAGGGGGAAGCGGAAUUCCUAGUGUAGCGGUGAAAUGCGUAGAUAUUAGGAGGAACACCGGUGGCGAAGGCGGCUUACUGGACCGUAACUGACGUUGAGGCUCGAAGGCGUGGGGAGCAAACAGGAUUAGAUACCCUGGUAGUCCACGCGGUAAACGAUGAUCACUAGGUGUCCGUGGGUAUGACCCAUGGGUGCCGCAGCCAACGCAAUAAGUGAUCCACCUGGGGAGUACGUUCGCAAGAAUGAAACUCAAAUGAAUUGACGGGG